UACGAAGGGUGCAAGCGUUACUCGGAAUUACUGGGCGUAAAGCGUGCGUAGGUGGUGAGUUAAGUCUGUCGUGAAAGCCCCGGGCUCAACCUGGGAAUGGCGAUGGAUACUGGAUCGCUAGAGUGCGGUAGAGGAGAGUGGAAUUCCCGGUGUAGCAGUGAAAUGCGUAGAGAUCGGGAGGAACAUCAGUUGCGAAGGCGGCUCUCUGGACCAGCACUGACACUGAGGCACGAAAGCGUGGGGAGCAAACAGG
Molecule: ribosomal RNA, 253 nt
Filed under: uncultured bacterium
Lineage: Bacteria
Description: partial 16S ribosomal RNA
Rfam family: Bacterial small subunit ribosomal RNA
Source: RNAcentral